Rosa rugosa (rugosa rose) is the source of this 772-nucleotide long non-coding RNA. RefSeq lists it as uncharacterized. The transcript is spliced from 3 exons. Lineage: Eukaryota; Viridiplantae; Streptophyta; Magnoliopsida; Rosales; Rosaceae. The record is from RefSeq and is a predicted model, not a curated record.
UAUUUCAUUCUUUCCAAUUCAUAGUUUGACUUGGUAUCAGUGCAAAGAUCCGAGAGGACUUUAUUUCUUUAUUUUUUCUUCAUUGUUCUUUCCUCACACUCCGGGGUUAGAUCUCUGUUCCUUCCUCUAAUCUAUAGGUUUGGAUUGUUUUCUGUCUUUCAGAAGGUUUCUUGCGGCUUCCUGACUAGUCGAUCAAUCUCUCUCGAUCAGUCGACGCACCUUCUGUCUCAAUUCCGCUGCAUAAUCAAGUGUUUCGUUAUGGCAUUCUAUCAAUUGUUAUGCAACUACUGCAAGAACUUUGGACAUACCAACGCAACAUGUUACAAAUUGGUUGGCUACCCACCUGGCUACUUUAACAAUUCGAAAUCUGAUGGUGCCUCAGAUCAUAUGACUUAUGAUAAAUCUCGUUUUUCCUAUUUGUCACCCCCGCCUGUAAUGUUAUAAAUGCUAAUGGAUCCUUCUCACUAGGGAAACAAUUGGUCGUGGAUAUAUAUGUGAGGGGGAAACUGUUCCAUCUUGAUUGCAUGUAUGGCGGAGAGAAGCCAACAAAGACACCCCGAACUACUUUGACAACAAGUUCUGAUCUAAUUAGUGAGGUAUGGUUGUGGCAUCGCCUUCUUGGGCAUCCUUAUUUGUUCAUUGGGAUAAAUGAGUCUGCUUUACGUUGGUGAAACUUGUGCUCUUGCUAAGAGUCAUCAUGCUAGUUAUCCUUCAAGUGUUUCCAAUAAAAGUGCUACGAACUUAUUCAUUUUGAUGUGUGGGGACCUUUCAA